This 110-nucleotide ribosomal RNA is filed under the name Caerostris darwini. The record is from RNAcentral. Lineage: Eukaryota; Metazoa; Arthropoda; Arachnida; Araneae; Araneidae.
ACGGCCAUACCAUGCUGAAUGUACUGGUUCUCGUUCGAUCACCGCAGUCAAACAUCAUCGGCGCUGUCAGUACUUGGGAGGGUGACCACCUGAGAACACCGCGUGCCGUU